Molecule: ribosomal RNA, 262 nt
Filed under: uncultured Sphingobacteriales bacterium
Lineage: Bacteria; Pseudomonadati; Bacteroidota; Sphingobacteriia; Sphingobacteriales
Description: partial 16S ribosomal RNA
Rfam family: Bacterial small subunit ribosomal RNA
Source: RNAcentral
CUGGUAAUGCAGGGGACUCUAGCGAAACUGCCACCGUAAGGUGGGAGGAAGGUGGGGAUGACGUCAAAUCAGCACGGCCCUUAUGUCCAGGGCUACACACGUGUUACAAUGGUCGGUACAGAGGGCAGCUACCUGGUGACAGGAUGCUAAUCUCGAAAAACCCGGUCUCAGUUCGGAUCGAAGUCUGCAACUCGACUUCGUGAAGCUGGAUUCGCUAGUAAUCGUGGAUCAGAAUGUCACGGUGAAUACGUUCCCGGGUCUU